UACCUUUUCGUCCAUAAAUAAAUUAAAAACAUAAUGUAUAACUGUAAAGUUUAAAUUUUAAAUUAUUAUUAUUUUUUUUUUUUUUACUUUCACUAUUGUAUGUUUCUCCUAUUCAAUACUAGUUUAUUCUUCACGUGUAUAUAAUGCUCUUUUAAUGCGGUGUGAAAAUAUAUGUUCUUGAAUAUAUUUAUUUAAUAACAUACGUAUAUAAGUGCACAUGCUAUAUAUAUAUUUUUCCCAUUUAAUUUUAUAUUUGUUAUAAAUUUUUUAUCGAAACAUUAUAUUUGUUGAAGCGUAAAAUAAAAAACUAUGACUAACAACAUAUUGUUAAAUCAGUUCAAAGAAAAUUCUUUUAAGUAUAUGAACACACUUUUUCAAAUUAAUACAAAAUUCGAAUAACCAUAACUCCUUACAAUAUAAAAAAAUUAAAUAAAACCAAUAAAUAAAUAAAAUAAAAAAAAAAAAAAGAGAAAAUGGGAACGGAAAAAAAUAAAUAUGACUCAAAUAAAACAGAUAAUUUGUCUAUGCACCAGAAAUUUGAUCAAUUAAUUGAUGAUUAUUUUCCCGAUUUAAAAGACGAAAAAGAAGAGAAAAUAGAAAGAUGUCCAAAAACGGGUGAUUAUGUAUUUAAGAAAAUAAAUA
Piliocolobus tephrosceles (Ugandan red Colobus) is the source of this 642-nucleotide long non-coding RNA. RefSeq lists it as uncharacterized. The record is from RefSeq and is a predicted model, not a curated record. The transcript has 2 exons. Lineage: Eukaryota; Metazoa; Chordata; Mammalia; Primates; Cercopithecidae.